GGUUGACCUCGGAUCAGGUAGGGAUACCCGCUGAACUUAAGCAUAUCAAUAAGCGGAGGAAAAGAAACCAACCGGGAUUGCCUCAGUAACGGCGAGUGAAGCGGCAAGAGCUCAAAUUUGAAAGCUGGCUCCUUCGGGGUCCGCAUUGUAAUUUGCAGAGGAUGCUUCGGGUGCGGCCCCUGUCUAAGUACCCUGGAACGGGUCGUCAGAGAGGGUGAGAAUCCCGUCUGGGAUAGGGUGUCCGCGCCCGUGUGAAGCUCCUUCGACGAGUCGAGUUGUUUGGGAAUGCAGCUCUAAAUGGGUGGUAAAUUUCAUCUAAAGCUAAAUACUGGCCGGAGACCGAUAGCGCACAAGUAGAGUGAUCGAAAGAUGAAAAGCACUUUGAAAAGAGAGUUAAAAAGCACGUGAAAUUGUUGAAAGGGAAGCGCUUGCGACCAGACUCGCCCCCGGGGUUCAGCCGGCAUUCGUGCCGGUGUACUUCCCCGAGGGCGGGCCAGCGUCGGUUUGGGCGGCCGGUCAAAGGCCCCUGGAAUGUAGUACCCUCCGGGGUACCUUAUAGCCAGGGGUGCAAUGCGGCCAGCCUGGACCGAGGAACGCGCUUCGGCACGGACGCUGGCAUAAUGGUCGUAAACGACC
This 636-nucleotide ribosomal RNA is filed under the name Aspergillus bombycis. RNAcentral describes it as "eukaryotic LSU rRNA". It matches the Rfam family "Eukaryotic large subunit ribosomal RNA", at positions 1 to 649 of the family's 3401-position model. The record is from RNAcentral. Lineage: Eukaryota; Fungi; Ascomycota; Eurotiomycetes; Eurotiales; Aspergillaceae.